CCGGCGAACGGGUGCGUAACACGUAUGCAAUCUACCUAUAACUAAGGAAUAGCCCGGAGAAAUUCGGAUUAAUACCUUAUAACAUCUCAGAACGGCAUCGUUCCAAGGUUAAAGUUCAGGCGGUUAUAGAUGAGCAUGCGGCCCAUUAGUUAGUUGGUGAGGUAAUGGCUCACCAAGGCUACGAUGGGUAGGGGGUCUGAGAGGAUGAUCCCCCACACUGGUACUGAGACACGGACCAG
RNAcentral lists this ribosomal RNA (239 nucleotides) under uncultured bacterium. RNAcentral's name for it is "partial 16S ribosomal RNA". It matches the Rfam family "Bacterial small subunit ribosomal RNA", at positions 95 to 334 of the family's 1533-position model. The record is from RNAcentral.